CCAAUAGCGUAUAUUAAAGUUGCUGCAGUUAAAAAGCUCGUAGUUGAAUUUCGGGACCAAUAUGUCGGUCGUGCUUUUGUACGUACUGAUAUAAUUGGUUUCUCCCUUCUGAAGAACCUUGAUGUCAUUAAUUUGGUGUCUUGGGGAAUCAGGACUGUUACUUUGAAAAAAUUAGAGUGUUUAAAGCAGGCUCGCGCUUGAAUACAUUAGCAUGGAAUAAUGAAAUAGGACGUUUGAUUCUAUUUUGUUGGUUUCUAGGAUCGACGUAAUGAUUAAUAGGGAUAGUUGGGGGCAUUAGUAUUCAAUUGUCAGAGGUGAAAUUCUUGGAUUUAUUGAAGACUAACUACUGCGAAAGCAUUUGCCAAGGAUGUUUUCAUUAAUCAAGAACGAAAGUUAUGGGAUCGAAGACGAUCAGAUACCGUCGUAGUCUUAACCAUAAACUAUGCCGACUAGGGAUCGGAUGAUGUUAAUUUUUUAAUGACUCAUUCGGCGCCUUACG
This 499-nucleotide unclassified non-coding RNA is filed under the name uncultured Glomus. RNAcentral describes it as "SSU rRNA". It matches the Rfam family "Eukaryotic small subunit ribosomal RNA", at positions 591 to 1092 of the family's 1831-position model. Lineage: Eukaryota; Fungi; Glomeromycota; Glomeromycetes; Glomerales; Glomeraceae. The record is from RNAcentral.